Molecule: ribosomal RNA, 500 nt
Filed under: uncultured bacterium
Lineage: Bacteria
Description: partial 16S ribosomal RNA
Rfam family: Bacterial small subunit ribosomal RNA
Source: RNAcentral
AUUGAACGCUGGCGGCAUGCCUUACACAUGCAAGUCGGACGGCAGCACGUGAGCAAUCCUGGUGGCGAGUGGCGAACGGGUGAGUAAAGUAUCGGAACGGGCCCAGGUGCGGGGGAGAACGUAUCGAGAGUGACGCUAAUACCUCAUACGAUCGAUGGAUGGAAGCGGGGGAUCGGAAGACCGCGAGCGACUGGUGCCGCAGAUAUCAGAUUAGGUAGUUGGUGGGGUAAAGGCUCACCAAGCCGACGAUCUGUAGCUGGUCUGAGAGGACGACCAGCCACACUGGGACCGAGACACGGCCCAGACUCCUACGGGAGGCAGCAGUGGGGAAUUUUGGACAAUGGGCGAAAGCCUGAUCCAGCCAUGCCGCGUGGAGGAUGAAGGCCUUCGGGUUGUAAACUGCUUUUGUACGGAACGAAAAGGUUUGGCCUAAUAAGCUGAGCUCAUGACGGUACCGUAAGAAUAAGCACCGGCUAACUACGUGCCAGCCGCCGCCGUAA